RNAcentral lists this small RNA (888 nucleotides) under Pan troglodytes (chimpanzee). RNAcentral's name for it is "processed transcript". The record is from RNAcentral. Lineage: Eukaryota; Metazoa; Chordata; Mammalia; Primates; Hominidae.
GUCAAGUAGAUUUGUGGAAAUAGUUUUUAGAGCUGGAAUCAGGGGCCUGUGGCAAAAGAACUGAGCGGACUGCCAUCUGGACCCUCUGCCGGAUCAGGUCCUCCUCCCCCUCCACCAGGCCCCCCUCCUCCCCCAGUCUCUACCAGUUCAGGCUCAGAUGAGUCCGCUUCCCGCUCAGCACUGUUCGCGCAGAUUAAUCAGGGGGAGAGCAUUACACAUGCCCUGAAACAUGUAUCUGAUGACAUGAAGACUCACAAGAACCCUGCCCUGAAGGCUCAGAGUGGUCCAGUACGCAGUGGCCCCAAACCAUUCUCUGCACCUAAACCCCAAACCAGCCCAUCCCCCAAACGAGCCACAAAGAAGGAGCCAGCUGUACUUGAACUGGAGGGCAAGAAGUGGAGAGUGGAAAAUCAGGAAAAUGUUUCCAACCUGGUGAUUGAGGACACAGAGCUGAAACAGGUGGCUUACAUAUACAAGUGUGUCAACACGACAUUGCAAAUCAAGGGCAAAAUUAACUCCAUUACAGUAGAUAACUGUAAGAAACUUGGCCUGGUAUUCGAUGACGUGGUGGGCAUUGUGGAGAUAAUCAACAGUAAGGAUGUCAAAGUUCAGGUAAUGGGUAAAGUGCCAACCAUAUCCAUCAACAAAACAGAUGGCUGCCAUGCUUACCUGAGCAAGAAUUCCCUGGAUUGUGAAAUAGUCAGUGCCAAAUCUUCCGAGAUGAACGUCCUCAUUCCUACAGAAGGCGGUGACUUUAAUGAAUUCCCAGUUCCUGAGCAGUUCAAGACCCUAUGGAACGGGCAGAAGUUGGUCACCACAGUGACAGAAAUUGCUGGAUAAGCGAAGUGCCACUGGGUUCUUUGCCCUCCCUUCACACCAUGGGAUAAA